Medicago truncatula (barrel medic) is the source of this 2460-nucleotide RNA transcript. It is a transcript of the gene named probable lipid phosphate phosphatase beta, with no coding region annotated. The transcript has 3 exons. The record is from RefSeq and is a predicted model, not a curated record. Lineage: Eukaryota; Viridiplantae; Streptophyta; Magnoliopsida; Fabales; Fabaceae.
GCUCGUUAGGACAUUCCAUUUCUUACCCAAUCCGUGACAGUCACCUCUUUCUCAACAUCCCCGUCACCACUACAAUGGGCGUCGAUAAACCACCACCCAAACCAACCACCACACCGCCACCGUUCCUCUACCGCAUCACUUCUCUCGACGCUACAAUCUCCCAUUCCAUCCACACCUUCACCUCCCCCCACGCCCCAAAACAGUUCCUCCGCUUCCUCGAACACUUAGCCGAUUUCCGCUUAUUCUUCCCCGUCACUCUCUCACUCUUCCUCGCCACACCCCCUCUCUCUCCUCUCCGUCCUCACCUCUUCCUCCCUCUCCUCAUCUGCUCCAUCCUCGACCUCAUUUUCAUCGGUUUCACCAAAUUUCUCGUUCGUAGAUCUCGUCCUUUGUAUUCCAUUCACGGUGAUUACAACGCUGUUGUUCCCGUUGAUAAAUUCUCAUUCCCGAGUGGUCACUCAUCCAGAGUUUGUUUCAUUGCUUCGAUAUUUUCACUCUCGCGUGAUUGGAUCGUUGACGCGGUCAACCAUCCGAGUCAUCCGCGGAUUGCGGUAUUUGUUGAGAGGUGGAUUGGUGGAGAUGAAGUUAUGGCGGUUAAUUUGUUGGUUGUUUUAGUUUGGUGUUGGGCUUUGACGACGGUUAUUUCAAGGGUUGUUCUUGGGAGGCAUUAUGUUCUUGAUGUUAUCGUCGGAGCUUGCUUUGGUGUUUUGGAAGCUUUGAUUACUUUGCGGUUUCUCAAUUUCAGUGUUUUGAUUUGAGACUCUUCAUUAAUGGGAUGACUUAGCCAGAGAAAAUUAGAAAGAAAACAAAUGAUAGGAAAAAGGACUACAUCAUUGUCCAUGCCAAGUGUAAUGUGGCCCUUGCUCCAAUUAUGUUGUUGCUUAGAUGAGGGAUAGAGUUUAUCAAGACAGAGUGUUAAACACUAAGUGGGAGAGAGAAUCUAAAUGAAGCAUUAUAAUGCACGGCAUUGCACGCUAAGCAUUCAACUGUCAGAAAAGAGUGGGGGAAAAAUGAUGAGAAAGUUUUUAAGAAAUUUAUUUUUGAAUUGGUGAGCGGUAUUCUUCGUGGCAGCCUUUUGGUCGUGCACAUGUGGUUUUGGGUGGAUGGCAUUGGUUAGGAAGGUUCCUAUUUGUUAAAGCAUGAAGCUGUGUAUUAGGUUCUUGGUCAAGCUUGUCGACUGGAUUCUUGUAGUGCAUGUUUUCCUUUUCUUUAUCUUUAUUUGUUCAGGUUCUCAUGGAGCACAUUGAACUUAUGCUAUCUGAGGAAAUCAAAUCUUUUUAUUUGGAAUCCAACAGAUAAUGAAGUCGCGAAUGUUUUACCACAUUGGCGUUCUGAUUCUCACAGAUAAUUUUGGACACCUAUACGACUAACAUCCAGCAAAUACUACUUGGUCUCAAUUCUUUCCUCAUUCAUUAGUUAAAAUUGAUUUCUAGUAUCAUUGCUGUUAGUUAUUUAUUCCUUGAGAAUUUGACUAUUUACUUCUCUAUACUCUCCCCUACAUGAUUGUAAAUAAUAAAUUUUGACAUGUGAUAUAUCAAUAUAUCAUCUUUGGUAAAGAAGCUCUGUUUUUUAUUUAUUUGUAACUUUUUGUCUUAAGUUCCAUUCAAACUAAAGGAUGUGUGGUAUGCAUUGAUUUCCUUAUCUGGUGCCCAAGUUUUCUGCAGCUGUCAGAGGUUUCUAUUUUUUAUUUUUUUUGCAGAGGUGCUGACACCAAGACAUUUUGUUCUGUAUAGUCUUAGGAAUCUGGAGCUGGUUUAUAAAUUAUGUGAUUCUGGGGUUAGAUUUUGUCUGGUCUAUCUCCAAUGUUUACUUCACCAGUUCAGUGGAUAAGAUUAAGCAUUUGUUUUUUAAGUUUGGGUUAAUAAUUAGCAUCCUGCAAUCUAUCAGCUUUGAUUAAUGAAGGGCUGGCUUCAAGGGAAGGGACCACGUUUUUUAUUUAAUUUGUUUGAUUAGUCUGCCGUCGGCCAUAAGCUGAAACAUAGACCAUCAACAUUUGAAGGAUGGAAAGUUGUUAGGUAAGUUGCUUCUUUUGCAUGUGCCUCCUACUGUGAGUGAUGCUUUUAUCAUAUAAGUUGAUCUUGAUUUGAUGGAAUGAUUGAUCGUUCUUUGCUUUCCUUUCAAUUUUGGAAAAAGAUUCAUAAACUUGCCACAUUAGCGGCAGACGGUGGUUGUUAUCUUGUGCUGGCAGCAUUAUUACCAUAGUUAGGGUGUGGAUAUUUGCAUGUGGAACACACCAAAGGACGAGUGAAACUAGUCAUUUUCUGUUUUAUUGACUUGACAUGUGGGGCUGAUAACCAUUAACUCCCAAAAGAAUUUUAAGAGCAUAUCAAGUUGGAGGAGGCAUUCACCUUCUUUCAUAUUAGCCCACAGAACAUUGACAAAUUUCCCUCUAUUCAUGUCUGUUUCUUAUUGCUUUGCUGAAAAAUAAUUGCAUCUACAUUAAAUUUUUGAUGUUUAUUA